Molecule: ribosomal RNA, 772 nt
Filed under: Trichophaea sp.
Lineage: Eukaryota; Fungi; Ascomycota; Pezizomycetes; Pezizales; Pyronemataceae
Description: partial large subunit ribosomal RNA
Rfam family: Eukaryotic large subunit ribosomal RNA
Source: RNAcentral
UAAUUUAGAGGGACAUUUUCAGGGUUCAGCACUAUUCUAAGUUCUUUGGAACAGGACAUCAUAGAGGGUGAGAAUCCCGUGCCUGGGUAGUUGUCUGAUUCUAUGUGAAGUGUCUCCGACGAGUCGAGUUGUUUGGGAAUGCAGCUCAAAAUGGGUGGUAAAUUUCAUCUAAAGCUAAAUAUUGGCGAGAGACCGAUAGCGCACAAGUAGAGUGAUCGAAAGAUGAAAAGCACUUUGAAAAGAGAGUUAAAAAGUAUGUGAAAUUGUUGAAAGGGAAGCACUUGCGACCAGAUUCAAUCUUUAGGGGUCAUCUGGGUUUUAAGCCUGGUUGUUAUUCCUAUUGAUUGGGCUAGCAUCGGUUUUGGUGGCAGGAUAAAAGGUAAGGAAAUGUGGCUUUCCUCUUUUGGAGAGUGUUAUAGUCCUUGUCAUAAUACUGCCUACUGGGACCGAGGACUGCGCUUAGGCUAGGAUGCUGGCAUAAUGGUUUUAAGUGACCCGUCUUGAAACACGGACCAAGGAGUCUAACAUCUAUGCAAGUGUUUGGGUGGAAAACCCUUGCGCGUAAUGAAAGUAAAUGGAGGUAGGAACCCUUUGGGGUGCACUAUCGACCGGUCCUGAUGUUUUCGGAAGGAUCUGAGUAAGAGCAUAGCUGUUGGGACCCGAAAGAUGGUGAACUAUGCCUGAAUAGGGUGAAGCCAGAGGAAACUCUGGUGGAGGCUCGCAGCGGUUCUGACGUGCAAAUCGAUCGUCAAAUUUGGGUAUAGGGGCGAAA